UGGGGAAUAUUGCACAAUGGGCGCAAGCCUGAUGCAGCCAUGCCGCGUGUAUGAAGAAGGCCUUCGGGUUGUAAAGUACUUUCAGCGGGGAGGAAGGUGUUGUGGUUAAUAACCACAGCAAUUGACGUUACCCGCAGAAGAAGCACCGGCUAACUCCGUGCCAGCAGCCGCGGUAAUACGGAGGGUGCAAGCGUUAAUCGGAAUUACUGGGCGUAAAGCGCACGCAGGCGGUCUGUCAAGUCGGAUGUGAAAUCCCCGGGCUCAACCUGGGAACUGCAUCCGAAACUGGCAGGCUUGAGUCUUGUAGAGGGGGGUAGAAUUCCAGGUGUAGCGGUGAAAUGCGUAGAGAUCUGGAGGAAUAUCGGUGGCGAAGGCGGCCCCCUGGACAAAGACUGACGCUCAGGUGCGAAAGCGUGGGGAGCAAACA
RNAcentral lists this ribosomal RNA (427 nucleotides) under uncultured bacterium. RNAcentral's name for it is "partial 16S ribosomal RNA". It matches the Rfam family "Bacterial small subunit ribosomal RNA", at positions 355 to 774 of the family's 1533-position model. The record is from RNAcentral.